GCUCCUGUGGCGCAGUAGGUAGCGCGUCGGACUGUUAAUCCGAAGGUCGCAGGUUCGAGCCCUGCCGGGAGCG
This 73-nucleotide transfer RNA is filed under the name Methanococcus maripaludis. RNAcentral describes it as "tRNA-Asn". It matches the Rfam family "tRNA". From Rfam's summary of the family: Transfer RNA (tRNA) molecules are approximately 80 nucleotides in length. Their secondary structure includes four short double-helical elements and three loops (D, anti-codon, and T loops). Further hydrogen bonds mediate the characteristic L-shaped molecular structure. tRNAs have two regions of fundamental functional importance: the anti-codon, which is responsible for specific mRNA codon recognition, and the 3' end, to which the tRNAs corresponding amino acid is attached (by aminoacyl-tRNA synthetases). tRNAs cope with the degeneracy of the genetic code in two manners: having more than one tRNA (with a specific anti-codon) for a particular amino acid; and 'wobble' base-pairing, i.e. permitting non-standard base-pairing at the 3rd anti-codon position. The record is from RNAcentral. Lineage: Archaea; Methanobacteriati; Methanobacteriota; Methanococci; Methanococcales; Methanococcaceae.